This 910-nucleotide ribosomal RNA is filed under the name uncultured bacterium. RNAcentral's name for it is "bacterial SSU rRNA". It matches the Rfam family "Bacterial small subunit ribosomal RNA", at positions 33 to 972 of the family's 1533-position model. The record is from RNAcentral.
ACGCUGACAGAAUGCUUAACACAUGCAAGUCUACUUGAACUUCGGUUUGGGUGGCGGACGGGUGAGUAACGCGUAAAGAACUUGCCUCACAGUUAGGGACAACAUUUGGAAACGAAUGCUUAUACCUGAUAUUAUGAUUUUAGGGCAUCCUAAGAUUAUGAAAGCUAUAUGCGCUGUGAGAGAGCUUUGCGUCCCAUUAGCUAGUUGGAGAGGUAACGGCUCACCAAGGCGAUGAUGGGUAGCCGGCCUGAGAGGGUGAACGGCCACAAGGGGACUGAGACACGGCCCUUACUCCUACGGGAGGCAGCAGUGGGGAAUAUUGGACAAUGGACCAAAAGUCUGAUCCAGCAAUUCUGUGUGCACGAUGACGUUUUUCGGAAUGUAAAGUGCUUUCAGUUGGGAAGAAAAAAAUGACGGUACCAACAGAAGAAGUGACGGCUAAAUACGUGCCAGCAGCCGCGGUAAUACGUAUGUCACAAGCGUUAUCCGGAUUUAUUGGGCGUAAAGCGCGUCUAGGUGGUUAUGUAAGUCUGAUGUGAAAAUGCAGGGCUCAACUCUGUAUUGCGUUGGAAACUGCAUGACUAGAGUACUGGAGAGGUAAGCGGAACUACAAGUGUAGAGGUGAAAUUCGUAGAUAUUUGUAGGAAUGCCGAUGGGGAAGCCAGCUUACUGGACAGAUACUGACGCUAAAGCGCGAAAGCGUGGGUAGCAAACAGGAUUAGAUACCCUGGUAGUCCACGCCGUAAACGAUGAUUACUAGGUGUUGGGGGUCGAACCUCAGCGCCCAAGCUAACGCGAUAAGUAAUCCGCCUGGGGAGUACGUACGCAAGUAUGAAACUCAAAGGAAUUGACGGGGACCCGCACAAGCGGUGGAGCAUGUGGUUUAAUUCGACGCAACGCGAGGAACCUU